CCUACGGGAGGCAGCAGUGGGGAAUCUUGCGCAAUGGGCGAAAGCCUGACGCAGCAACGCCGCGUGCGGGAAGAAGGCUUUCGGGCUGUAAACCGCUUUCAGCAGGAACGAAAAUGACGGUACCUGCAGAAGAAGGAGCGGCCAACUAUGUGCCAGCAGCCGCGGUGAUACAUAGGCUUCAAGCGUUGUCCGGAUUUAUUGGGCGUAAAGAGUUCGUAGGCGGUCGAGUAAGUCGGGUGUGAAAAUUCUGGGCUCAACCCAGAGACGCCACCCGAUACUGCUUGACUUGAGUUCGAUAGGGGAGUGGGGAAUUCCUAGUGUAGCGGUGAAAUGCGCAGAUAUUAGGAGGAACACCGGUGGCGAAGGCGCCACUCUGGAUCGAUACUGACGCUGAGGAACGAAAGCAUGGGUAAGCAAACAGGAUUAGAUACCCUGGUAGUCCAUGCCGUAAACGGUGGGCACUAGGUGUGGGUUUCUAUUAACGAAAUCCGCGCCGUCGCUAACGCAUUAAGUGCCCCGCUGGGGAGUCGGUCGCAAGCUAAAACNCGAAAGAUGAGNGUUGAGAGNGCGAGCGACGACGAGGGAGGAG
This 589-nucleotide ribosomal RNA is filed under the name uncultured bacterium. Its description in RNAcentral is "bacterial SSU rRNA". It matches the Rfam family "Bacterial small subunit ribosomal RNA", at positions 338 to 946 of the family's 1533-position model. The record is from RNAcentral.